UACGUAGGGGGCGAGCGUUGUCCGGAAUUACUGGGCGUAAAGCGCAUGUAGGCGGGCGACUAAGUCAGGGGUGAAAACCGUGGGCUCAACCUACGGCUUGCCCUUGAUACUGGUCGUCUUGAGUACAGGAGAGGGAAGCGGAAUUCCCGGUGUAGCGGUGGAAUGCGUAGAUAUCAGGAGGAACACCGGAGGCGAAAGCGGCUAUCUGGCGCACACCUGACGCUGAGGCACGAAAGCUAGGGGAGCAAACAGG
Molecule: ribosomal RNA, 253 nt
Filed under: uncultured microorganism
Description: partial 16S ribosomal RNA
Rfam family: Bacterial small subunit ribosomal RNA
Source: RNAcentral